RNAcentral lists this ribosomal RNA (491 nucleotides) under uncultured bacterium. RNAcentral describes it as "bacterial SSU rRNA". It matches the Rfam family "Bacterial small subunit ribosomal RNA", at positions 903 to 1397 of the family's 1533-position model. The record is from RNAcentral.
AAAGGAAUAGACGGGGGCCCGCACAAGCAGCGGAGCAUGUGGUUUAAUUCGAAGCAACGCGAAGAACCUUACCAGAACUUGACAUCGUCUGAAUUACCCGUAAUUGGGGAAGCCUUUCGGGGCAGAUAGACAGGUGGUGCAUGGUUGUCGUCAGCUCGUGUCGUGAGAUGUUGGGUUAAGUCCCGCAACGAGCGCAACCCUUAUUACUAGUUGCCAUCAUUAAGUUGGGCACUCUAGUGAGACUGCCGGAGACAAUUCGGAGGAAGGUGGGGAUGACGUCAAAUCAUCAUGCCCCUUAUGUUCUGGGCUACACACGUGCUACAAUGGGUGUAACAACGAGAAGCAAGCUGGCAACAGCAAGCCAAUCUCUGAAAAGCACCCUCAGUUCGGAUUGUAGGCUGAAACCCGCCUACAUGAAGUUGGAGUUGCUAGUAAUCGCGAAUCAGCAUGUCGCGGUGAAUACGUUCCCGGGCCUUGUACACACCGCCCGU